RNAcentral lists this transfer RNA (542 nucleotides) under uncultured cyanobacterium. RNAcentral's name for it is "partial contains 16S ribosomal RNA, 16S-23S ribosomal RNA intergenic spacer, and 23S ribosomal RNA". The stretch from base 214 to 286 matches the Rfam family "tRNA". The record is from RNAcentral. Lineage: Bacteria; Bacillati; Cyanobacteriota.
CAGGGAGACAACAAAAUGUUUAAUAUUAUUAUUUUGUCACCUUAGGUCGAUCGGUAUCUCACAUUCUUAAUUUAUUAAGGAUUUCAUUUCCUAAGUUUUUCUAGGUCACACCCAUUAUUUUUCCUGGGCCAUUAGCUCAGGUGGUUAGAGCGCACCCCUGGUAAGGGUGAGGUCCCUGGUUCAAGUCCAGGAUGGCCCAUAUCUCUAUAUGUUGGGGGUAUAGCUCAGUUGGUAGAGCGCCUGCUUUGCAAGCAGGAUGUCAGCGGUUCGAGUCCGCUUACCUCCACUGAUUACCACCUCUUCCAUAAUCUUUAGAAGGGAAAUGUUUUGUGUUGUGAUCAAAUUCGGAACGAAUCUAGCUUCCUAAUGAAAUCAUUAAGAUGCUGGACUCAUUGAAUUAAUUUCAUUGUUUUCAGAGAACCUUGACAACUGCAUAGAUUAUUUUUAAAGACAAUAAGCAUCUUUAAUGAUGCAGAUUUAUUAUUUGUGCGAAUGCAUUAAUAACAAUUCUAUUAAGCUGAUGCUUCAAUUUUGAAGUUAUU